UGGGGAAUUGUUCGCAAUGGGCGCAAGCCUGACGACGCAACGCCGCGUGGAGGACGAAGACCUUCGGGUCGUAAACUCCUUUCGAUCGAGACGAACGGCCCCUGGGCUAAUCACCAGGGGAGUGACGGUACCGAGAGAAGAAGCCCCGGCUAACUCCGUGCCAGCAGCCGCGGUAAUACGGGGGGGGCAAGCGUUGUUCGGAAUUACUGGGCGUAAAGGGCUCGUAGGCGGCCAACUAAGUCAGACGUGAAAUCCCUCGGCUUAACCGGGGAACUGCGUCUGAUACUGGAUGGCUUGAGAUUGGGAGAGGGAUGCGGAAUUCCAGGUGUAGCGGUGAAAUGCGUAGAUAUCUGGAGGAACACCGGUGGCGAAGGCGGCAUCCUGGACCAACACUGACGCUGAGGAGCGAAAGCCAGGGGAGCAAACGGGAUUAGAUACCCCCGUAGUCC
Molecule: ribosomal RNA, 449 nt
Filed under: uncultured bacterium
Lineage: Bacteria
Description: bacterial SSU rRNA
Rfam family: Bacterial small subunit ribosomal RNA
Source: RNAcentral